GAGUUUGAUCCUGGCUCAGGAUGAACGCUAGCGGCAGGCUUAAUACAUGCAAGUCGAACGGGAUUCAGUGUAGCAAUACAUUGAUGAGAGUGGCGCACGGGUGCGUAACGCGUAUGCAACCUACCUUUAACAGGAGAAUAGCCCCGAGAAAUCGGGAUUAAUACCCCGUAACAUUGCGAUGUGGCAUCACAUUGCAAUUAAAGAUUUAUCGGUUAAAGAUGGGCAUGCGUGACAUUAGCUAGUUGGUGAGGUAACGGCUCACCAAGGCAACGAUGUCUAGGGGUCCUGAGAGGGUUAUCCCCACACUGGUACUGAGACACGGACCAGACUCCUACGGGAGGCAGCAGUAAGGAAUAUUGGUCAAUGGGCGCAAGCCUGAACCAGCCAUGCCGCGUGCAGGAAGGCGGCCCUAUGGGUUGUAAACUGCUUUUGUCAGGGAAUAAACCUUUGUACUUGAUACAGAGCUGAAGGUACCUGAAGAAUAAGCAUCGGCUAACUCCGUGCCAGCAGCCGCGGUAAUACGGAGGAUGCAAGCGUUAUCCGGAUUCAUUGGGUUUAAAGGGUGCGCAGGCGGAUUGAUAAGUCAGGGGUGAAAUCCCACAGCUCAACUGUGGAACUGCCUUUGAUACUGUCAAUCUAGAGUAUAGUUGAAGUUGGCGGAAUGUGUCAUGUAG
This 674-nucleotide ribosomal RNA is filed under the name uncultured Bacteroidota bacterium. RNAcentral's name for it is "bacterial SSU rRNA". It matches the Rfam family "Bacterial small subunit ribosomal RNA", at positions 9 to 678 of the family's 1533-position model. The record is from RNAcentral. Lineage: Bacteria; Pseudomonadati; Bacteroidota.